UAGCUUAGUGGCAGAGCGCAUGCUUAGCAUGCACGAGGUCCUGGGUUCAAUCCCCAG
Molecule: transfer RNA, 57 nt
Filed under: Camelus bactrianus (Bactrian camel)
Lineage: Eukaryota; Metazoa; Chordata; Mammalia; Artiodactyla; Camelidae
Also listed under: 1 other name
Rfam family: tRNA
About the family: Transfer RNA (tRNA) molecules are approximately 80 nucleotides in length.
Source: Rfam by way of RNAcentral